This 693-nucleotide ribosomal RNA is filed under the name uncultured bacterium. Its description in RNAcentral is "bacterial SSU rRNA". It matches the Rfam family "Bacterial small subunit ribosomal RNA", at positions 98 to 811 of the family's 1533-position model. The record is from RNAcentral.
GCGAACGGCUGAGUAACGCGUAGGUGACCUGUCCUGAAGUGGGGAAUAACUGCCCGAAAGGGUGGCUAAUACCGCAUGCGGUCAUAGAAUCAGAUCUAUGACCAAAGCCUUCGGGCGCUUUUGGAGGGGCCUGCGUUCGAUUAGCUCGUUGGUGAGGUAACGGCUCACCAAGGCGACGAUCGAUAGGUGGUCUGAGAGGAUGAUCACCCAGACUGGGACUGAGACACGGCCCAGACAACUACGGUUGGCAGCAGUCGGGAAUUUUGCUCAAUGGGGGAAACCCUGAAGCAGCAACGCCGCGUGAGGGAUGAAGGCCUUCGGGUUGUAAACCUCUUUUCUCAGGGACGAUAAUGACGGUACCUGAGGAAUAAGCCACGGCUAACUACGUGCCAGCAGCCGCGGUAAUACGUAGGUGGCAAGCGUUGUCCGGAUUUACUGGGCGUGAAGAGCGCGCAGGCGGCCAGGUCAGUCGAAUGUGAAAGCCCCCGGCUCAACUGGGGAGGGUCAUUCGAUACUGCUUGGCUUGAAGAUAGGAGAGGGAAGUGGAAUUUCAGGUGUAGUGGUGAAAUGCGUAGAUAUCUGAAGGAACACCAGUGGCGAAGGCGACUUUCUGGCCUAUUCUUGACGCUGAGGCGCGAAAGCUAGGGGAGCGAACGGGAUUAGAUACCCCGGUAGUCCUAGCCGUAAACGAUG